UAGGGAAUCUUCGGCAAUGGACGAAAGUCUGACCGAGCAACGCCGCGUGAGUGAAGAAGGUUUUCGGAUCGUAAAACUCUGUUGUUAGAGAAGAACAAGACGUUAGUAACUGAACGUCCCCUGACGGUAUCUAACCAGAAAGCCACGGCUAACUACGUGCCAGCAGCCGCGGUAAUACGUAGGUGGCAAGCGUUGUCCGGAUUUAUUGGGCGUAAAGCGAGCGCAGGCGGUUUCUUAAGUCUGAUGUGAAAGCCCCCGGCUCAACCGGGGAGGGUCAUUGGAAACUGGGAGACUUGAGUGCAGAAGAGGAGAGUGGAAUUCCAUGUGUAGCGGUGAAAUGCGUAGAUAUAUGGAGGAACACCAGUGGCGAAGGCGGCUCUCUGGUCUGUAACUGACGCUGAGGCUCGAAAGCGUGGGGAGCAAACAGG
RNAcentral lists this ribosomal RNA (428 nucleotides) under Gemmatimonadota bacterium. Its description in RNAcentral is "Gemmatimonadetes bacterium partial 16S ribosomal RNA". It matches the Rfam family "Bacterial small subunit ribosomal RNA", at positions 355 to 776 of the family's 1533-position model. The record is from RNAcentral. Lineage: Bacteria; Pseudomonadati; Gemmatimonadota.